This 429-nucleotide ribosomal RNA is filed under the name uncultured bacterium. RNAcentral's name for it is "bacterial SSU rRNA". It matches the Rfam family "Bacterial small subunit ribosomal RNA", at positions 376 to 796 of the family's 1533-position model. The record is from RNAcentral.
GGWAACCCUGACGCAGCGACGCCGCGUGCGGGAAGAAGGCCUUUGGGUCGUAAACCGCUGUCAGGAGGGAAGAAACUGUUAGGGUAUAAUACGCCCUUUCACUGACGGUACCUCCAAAGGAAGCACCGGCUAACUCCGUCCCAGCAGCCGCGGUAAUACGGAGGGUGCGAGYGUUAAUCGGAAUCACUGGGCGUAAAGCGCACGUAGGCGGCGCAUCAAGUCAGGCGUGAAAGCCCUCGGCUCAACCGGGGAAUUGCGUUUGAAACUGGUGUGCUGGAGUCUMGGAGAGGUUGGCGGAAUUCCAGGUGUAGGAGUGAAAUCCGUAGAUAUSUGGAGGAACACCGGUGGCGAAGGCGGCCAACUGGACGAGUACUGACGCUGAGGUGCGAAAGCGUGGGGACCAAACAGGAUUAGAUACCCUGGUAGUCC